CUGUUAAAAAGCUCGUAGUUGGAUCAAGGGCUCGACUGUGCAGGGUGGCCCUGUUUGACUCGAUAGGCCCUGCUUACCGGGUCGGCAGCGGGUAAACCCCCUGCGCUACGCAGUCGACUCUAACAGGCUGAAACGGUUCCCUGUGAGUAGGGUCCUUCAUUGGGCCUGAAAGCGAUCACGCAUCAACCAUAUGCAUACGGGACGUCGGCCAAUGUUACUGUGAACAAACCAGCGUGUCCAAGGCAGGCUUGCGCCUGAACGUUCGAGCAUGGAAUAACAAGGGAUCGAUUCUCUCGGUUCUUUUUGUUGGUUUUUAACCCGAGAAGGAGUAAUUCAGUCCACGGUGUCUGAAUUGGGUUUCCCCAGUCUUCGGGCUGGGCCCCAAUUAGGCCGUGUACUUACGGGAUAAAUAGGGACUGACGGGGUCGUACGUACUUCCACGUCAGAGGUGAAAUUCUUAGAUCGUGGGAAGACGAACUUCUGCGAAAGCAUUCGACAAGAAUGUCUUCAUUAAUCAAGAACGAGAGUGUGGGGAUCGAAGAUGAUCAGAUACCGUCGUAGUCCACUACUGUAAACAAUGCCGUCUCAGGAUUGAGAAGUGAUCAUUAUGU
RNAcentral lists this ribosomal RNA (611 nucleotides) under uncultured marine eukaryote. Its description in RNAcentral is "bacterial SSU rRNA". It matches the Rfam family "Eukaryotic small subunit ribosomal RNA", at positions 618 to 1072 of the family's 1831-position model. The record is from RNAcentral.